RNAcentral lists this ribosomal RNA (459 nucleotides) under uncultured bacterium. RNAcentral describes it as "partial 16S ribosomal RNA". It matches the Rfam family "Bacterial small subunit ribosomal RNA", at positions 338 to 795 of the family's 1533-position model. The record is from RNAcentral.
CCUACGGGUGGCAGCAGUGAGGAAUAUUGGUCAAUGGGCGGGAGCCUGAACCAGCCAAGCCGCGUGAGGGAAGAAGGUACAGCGUAUCGUAAACCUCUUUUGUCAGGGAACAAAGGCGGGGACUAGUCCCCGGAUGAGGGUACCUGAAGAAAAAGCAUCGGCUAACUCCGUGCCAGCAGCCGCGGUAAUAGGGAGGAUGCGAGCGUUAUCCGGAUUUAUUGGGUUUAAGGGGUGCGUAGGCGGACUGUUAAGUCAGCGGUAAAAGCCCGGGGCUAAACCCCGGCGGGCCGUUGAAACUGGCUGUCUUGAGAUGUCGAGAGGUAUGCGGAAUGCGCGGUGUAGCGGUGAAAUGCUUAGAUAUUGCGCAGAACUCCGAUUGCGAAGGCAGCAUACCGGCGGCGAUCUGACGCUGAGGCACGAAAGCGUGGGUAUCGAACAGGAUUAGAUACCCGUGUAGUC